This is a long non-coding RNA of Rosa chinensis, 507 nucleotides long. RefSeq lists it as uncharacterized. The record is from RefSeq and is a predicted model, not a curated record. NCBI's taxonomy places the organism in Eukaryota, Viridiplantae, Streptophyta, Magnoliopsida, Rosales, Rosaceae. The transcript is spliced from 3 exons.
UUUUCUCAAUUUUAAUUACUCUAUGUGUCUCCUAUCUCGAAAAAUUUUCCAACCAAAGUUGAUUGCUGUCUUUCCCAAUUCUUCUCUGAAAAAAAAAAGGGAAUGUGAUUAAUAUCAUUGAAGGUGAGGAAGAAUCUGACUGAGGAAGGGUGAAAAGGGGAGCGAAAGAGUAAAGAGUAGAGGAAAGGAGAUGGGCGUUAUCAUUCAUCUACCCAUAAAAGGUCUGCUGUAGGAAAUCGAAUUGUCAAGAAAAAUUGUUUUUCUAGCCUGAAGUAUAUUAUGGUGGUAUUAGGAAGACUGAGGUGAAGAUUCCAGAUUCUGCAGAUAUUGAAUCAAAUUCACUGUUCACGGCAUGUAAAAUUUUCCAGCAGUUAAUUUUUCUAUCUAUGGGGCUGUGACGGUUGAUGGUUACUACAUUUUCCUUUAAUUACUUCUCAAUCUUUUGACUUUGGACUUGGUUUGAUUUAUCUUUCUCUUUGCAAUGUUUGUUUUAUUCAUUGGCUUAUA